RNAcentral lists this small nuclear RNA (107 nucleotides) under Neogale vison (American mink). The record is from RNAcentral. Lineage: Eukaryota; Metazoa; Chordata; Mammalia; Carnivora; Mustelidae.
UUGUUUGCUUCGGCAGCACAUAUACUAAAAUUGGAACGAUACAGAGAAGAUUAACAUGGCCCCUGCACAAGGAUGACACACAAAUUCGUGAAGCGUUCCAUAUUAAA